RNAcentral lists this ribosomal RNA (495 nucleotides) under uncultured bacterium. RNAcentral describes it as "partial 16S ribosomal RNA". It matches the Rfam family "Bacterial small subunit ribosomal RNA", at positions 28 to 508 of the family's 1533-position model. The record is from RNAcentral.
GACGAACGCUGGCGGCGUGCUUAACACAUGCAAGUCGAACGGUGAAGCGCCUUCCUUUUUGGUGGGUGUGGAUGAGUGGCGAACGGGUGAGUAACACGUGAGUAACCUGCCCCCUUCUUCUGGAUAACCGCAUGAAAGUGUGGCUAAUACGGGAUAUUCUGGGUCUGUCGCAUGAUGGGUCUGGGAAAGAUAUUGUUUCGGUGGGGGAUGGGCUCGCGGCCUAUCAGCUUGUUGGUGGGGUGAUGGCCUACCAAGGCGGUGACGGGUAGCCGGCCUGAGAGGGUGGACGGUCACACUGGGACUGAGACACGGCCCAGACUCCUACGGGAGGCAGCAGUGGGGAAUAUUGCACGAUGGGCGCAAGCCUGAUGCAGCGACGCCGCGUGAGGGAUGGAGGCCUUCGGGUUGUGAACCUCUUUCGCCAGUGAAGCAGGCCUGCCUCGUUUGUGGGUGGGUUGACGGUAGCUGGAUAAGAAGCGCCGGCUAACUACGUGC